Mus musculus (house mouse) is the source of this 530-nucleotide long non-coding RNA. RefSeq annotates it as RIKEN cDNA 1700080G11 gene. Lineage: Eukaryota; Metazoa; Chordata; Mammalia; Rodentia; Muridae. The record is from RefSeq and is marked validated. The transcript has 3 exons.
CGGUCUCAACUUGCCAAUUAUGCUUUCCAGAUAUUACAGGGGACUCCGAUUGGCUCUCCCCGAGUCACGUGCUCCCUGCUGGCCAAACAACAGUAGCCUGGAGUGUGAAGGUGGGUCUGCAAUUGCUUCUGCCAGGGUCAACUGUGAGGGAAGACGGUAGGGAAGUGACACCCUUUCAGGCUUCAGCUGGUGGCGCUGGCUGCUUGACUUUCUGGAAAUGGAUGCCAUGCAAGGUUGCAUUUUGACCAGGGGGAAGGAGGUCAUUCUUGAGGGUGGCUGGAUCGAUUGUGAGUCUGCCCCAGCUCCAGAGACACGGCAAGUUCAUGGGAUCUCACUCCUAAAUUCAAAAGUUAAGACAAUGAGGACGGCUGUCUUACAAGACCUAAUGGCCCUUGACGUACUAACAGCAGCGCGAGGAGGAACCUGUGCCAUCAUUAGAGUGCUGUGUAUAUAAACCUGACAACUGGGACAAUAUGUCCCCAGUCCUCCAAGAUUUACAUACUCAAAUUAAAUCUCUUGUCAAGCCCUGC